GCCGUUGUAGCUCAGUUGGUAGAGCAUCUCCAUGGUAAGGAGAAGGUCACCGGUUCAAGUCCGGUCAACGGCUCCA
RNAcentral lists this transfer RNA (76 nucleotides) under Patescibacteria group bacterium. RNAcentral's name for it is "tRNA-Thr". It matches the Rfam family "tRNA". From Rfam's summary of the family: Transfer RNA (tRNA) molecules are approximately 80 nucleotides in length. Their secondary structure includes four short double-helical elements and three loops (D, anti-codon, and T loops). RNAcentral also lists the same sequence under 3 other names. The record is from RNAcentral.